GAUGAAGAACGUAGCGAAAUGCGAUACUUGGUGUGAAUUGCAGAAUCCCGUGAACCAUCGAGUCUUUGAACGCAAGUUGCGCCCGAAGCCAUUAGGCCGAGGGCACGCCUGCCUGGGCGUCACACGUCGUUGCCCCCCCAUCUACUCCUUCGGGAUUGCGGGGGGUGGAUGAUGGCCUCCCGUGCGCCUCGUCGCGCGGUUGGCAUAAAUGCCAAGUCCUCGGCGACGCACGCCACGACAAUCGGUGGUUGCGAAACCUCGGUUGCCCGUCGUGUGCGGUCGUCGCGCAUCGAGGGCUCGAAAAAAUUGUCGGGCUCCGGCUCGGCUUUCAACGCGACCCCAGGUCAGGCGGGGUUACCCGCUGAAUUUAAGCAUAUCAAUAAGCGGAGGA
This 391-nucleotide unclassified non-coding RNA is filed under the name soil metagenome. Its description in RNAcentral is "partial contains 5.8S ribosomal RNA, internal transcribed spacer 2, and large subunit ribosomal RNA". The stretch from base 1 to 122 matches the Rfam family "5.8S ribosomal RNA", at positions 35 to 154 of the family's 154-position model. The record is from RNAcentral.